AUGAUAAAGCCAUCCUCUUUUAAGCAACAAAUAUUACCAGAGAAAAGGGAGUUAGUUAAGCUGCUGCAGUGCAUAAAGGGACCAUCCAGAGUGACACGGCGGCCACUCAGCAGGCAGCCCCAGCGCUCAUCCUGUCUCCCCAGACCCGCUCACCCCAACGCCGCAUUUUCUCCCGCUGCUCCAAAGAGAACUCACAAGGAAUUGAAUGACCUGGCACGGGACCCACCCCCGCCCAGCACAGUGUACAGCCGGUCCUGUUGGAGAUGGCAUGUCGACUGGCAAGCUGCAAUAAGAGGCAAAAUGACAGUCCCAAUCAGGGUGUAAUAUUUUUCUUGCAAUUCAUUUCCCAACAGACUUCCCCCUCAAACCCCCUAAGGUUGCAUUUACAAGAAUGUAUUUUCCAAAUAGUAACAGUAAUGGCAGCACGUGUCUUGACAUUCUGUGGUCACAGUGGUCUCCAGCACUAUUUCAAAAGUACUCUUUUCCAUUUGUUCCCCAUUGUAUGAUUCCAAUCCACAUGAUCUUCUAGUGAAUGAGGUUGCUGAGAUCUACAGAAAGGAUAGAGAAAAGUAUAGCAGAAUAGCUCAGGGAUGGACUCAAAGUAUGCCAGGUAAUUAAAGAAACUGAAUAACCUCUACAAAUAAAGACAGGGGCACUCUGAAAGAGAAA
RNA transcript from Homo sapiens (human), 669 nucleotides. It is a transcript of the gene named UBE2D3 pseudogene 5, with no coding region annotated. NCBI's taxonomy places the organism in Eukaryota, Metazoa, Chordata, Mammalia, Primates, Hominidae. The record is from RefSeq and is a predicted model, not a curated record. The transcript has 2 exons.